Long non-coding RNA from Ictalurus punctatus (channel catfish), 866 nucleotides. The record is from Ensembl. Lineage: Eukaryota; Metazoa; Chordata; Actinopteri; Siluriformes; Ictaluridae.
UCCAUCUUUCCCAGUCUCUCCAUCUUUCCCAGUCUCUCCAUCUCUGCACCUAGGAAAGAUGGCCGGUUCCUCCCAGGACAGAAAGCAGUCUGAGAAGUCAUAGCACAAGCUUCUGACCAUGUUCGCAACGGAUCCGGAGACUAUACCAGGAACACCUGGCACGACGAAGGAAGAUACCCUACGACCUGGAUGGUACAUUCUAGUACUGGGGAGAGAUGAUUUGAAAAGGUACCGAUCCUACAGCUAGCCGAUAUCCUGUCAGGGUUAUCUUAUCUGUGGCUAAUUAAGCGUGUUCUUAGGACAGGCUCCGAAUCCACCGUGAACCUGAUCAGGAUAAAGAUGAAUGGCCACGUCCUGGACUGGUCAUCAUUUGCCUGAUGAAGAAUUUAGUUCUUGGCAUGAAUGACCAUGAUUUCUAAUUUCAAGACCUUUCUCCCGUUUCUCACCAUGUGCGAAUUUCUCAAUCAGCUGCCUCAAAAGGGGUCAUUGUAUUUAAAAAAAAAAAAAAAAAAAAAAAACAAAACCCACAAUUUACAAGACUACAGAUUGAUUCAAAGACUACCGAUUUCCGACCACGCCGUUCACGGAAGGACAUCUGGCACCUGCGCUACAGCUCGGCAUCCCUGAGAGAAGCUACCUGAGAUCACAGAGAGUUUAUACAGUCCAGAUACCCAUGUCUUAUCACACACCCAUGCUGGUCCGAUAGCACAAAAUCAACACAGAGUCAUGAAUGAAAUCUCCGGAGGGCUAGACCUCACAAGAAUUCGCUCCAUUUCCUCAAACGCGUAGGAGAGUCGAGAACAUGGGGGAGAUUCUAUCAGGACUCGAUCCCUUUCACACUAGCUACUCUGUUCGUCUUGUGGAAC